GUCUCAGUUCAGAUUGCAGGCUGCAACUCGCCUGCAUGAAGUCGGAAUUGCUAGUAAUCGCAGAUCAGCAUGCUGCGGUGAAUACGUUCCCGGGCCUUGUACACACCGCCCGUCACACCAUGGGAGUCGGUAACACCCGAAGUCGGUAGCCUAACCGUAAGGAGGGCGCCGCCGAAGGUGGGAUUGAUGACUGGGGUGAAGUCGUAACAAGGUAUC
This 216-nucleotide ribosomal RNA is filed under the name uncultured bacterium. Its description in RNAcentral is "partial 16S ribosomal RNA". It matches the Rfam family "Bacterial small subunit ribosomal RNA", at positions 1285 to 1500 of the family's 1533-position model. The record is from RNAcentral.